GAAGAUGAACCUAGAUAAACAAAUAAAUAAAUAAGUGUACAAAUAAUAUAAAUAGGAUGAGUUAGAGUUUUUAGUGGGUAUUACUCCCUCCCUCGCUCAAUUCACACACCUCACUUCCCUCUCUUCUCUUGUCUCUCACAUCCCUCUCCCUCACGGUUCAGCAGCAGCCCCAGCACCACCAGCCACGCCUCCGCCAUAGCUGCCAGCAGCCACCAAUAGGCUGCGUUCGCCUCCUCACAGCAGCAUCCGUGGUUGCGUUCUCUCCCCCACCAACAGCAGCUGAGCUGCACCUUAAACAGUCACGUCGCAGCAUUGUGCGGCCAGCAACUGGCUGCUGGGCAGCCGUGUCUCUCCUCCACCACUACACUUACCACUCCUCUCUUCACCCCUUUUCUCUUGUUCACCUAAGUUUCCAGUUCACAAGAGUAAAAUAGAACCUUAGUUGGGUGAAUUUUGUAACUUUUGGUCGUGCAGUGAUGCUUACAGGUAAGAUCAACGACGAGAAAUGAUAUUGUAAAGAUUGACAGAUAGAAAGAGAUGAGGCACAAUUUUAUGGCUUAUAAGUGUGUGCAGAACCUUUUACAUGUAUGUAGUGCAAAGUAUGUCACCAGAAUUAGGAAUAAUGCUCCUCUGCAUAUGAAUGCAGCACUUCAUUAUUGCUCAGAGCCAUUGGGUGACCGAGGUGUUCAUUUAGGAUGGCACGAUGAGAUGUUACCGAGAUUGGUAGAAUUAACGAAUUUGCUGAGUAAUGUGGAUUUGGUUGAUGGAAGGCUAGUGGAUAUCAAUGACAAUUCAAUUGUCAGGGAUGAUAAUCUUCUUCAGAAGAUGCACCAUAUCAAAGCACUUGGAAGAGCUUUAAUUGGUCAUCCGUCGGUACAGGAAGAAAUGGCAAAGAAUGUGAGUGAUGCAAUGGCAGGAAGAAAAUGUAGUCCUCCUAUUUGCUUCACUAAACCAAUUGAGAGGGAAGCUAUGAGUGUUUGUAAUCUUACCAGAGUUUGCGAUUUUCUGAACGUUUCAGCACAGCAAAGGAAGACGGUUCGUUUUACCAUAUGCCCUCAAGUCACACAGCAUCGGAUAUUUACAGGUGCCCUUGAGGAAUUACUAAAGGGAUUGAAAACAGAGAUGAAGUUUUUCGACACUCGAACUCCUACCAAAGGAACACUUAUGGGCCAACAGAUUGUUUCAACUUGCUUAAAGUUCUUAUCUGAAACAGCUAGUCGUCAAGAUGACAAUGCUUCUUCAUGGAUGAGGCCGAAACCAUCUAAAGUAGGCAAUUCUUCUCCAUCACCCCGAAAAUGGGAAGAGGUCCUUGAAAUAUUCAAUGACCUCAUUUACUGUCUAAGAAAAGAAGAAGGGUUAUCAUACUAUGUAUCAAAACUUGAGGUGAUGAAAGAAGGGCUAACUCAGAUUAAGGAUGUGUUCAUCGAUAGGGAUAUCGGGUACAAGGAGGUACAACUACAUGAAAGUUUAGUUCAAAAGAAGCUAUUGAAGACUUUAGGUCAUUCAUCGCGAUGUUUGUUUACGCUUUUGAGAUAUUAUCUUCAUCAAAGUAUUCGAGACAUGGAAGUGGAAGUGUCUGGUGGGUUGUAUGAGAUUGGUGAGAAGGAUAAAUUAUGCUUGUGUAUGGGGAAAAUUUUGACGUCAGGGGAAGAAAAUAUGGUUUGGAACGGUGUAAAGCGAUUAGAUCGAGUUCUUGGGCUGUUCAAAUUUGUAUGGGAUAUUGCCGGGAUGGACAGACGCCUAGAAGUACAAGGGCAUUUGUGGUGUGUAGGAGCUGAAAGCAAGACGAUCAUCUAUGGAGGAAAUUCGUUCAUCAUCCAUGGUGUUCGUUUUUGAUUGAAGCUCGUAAUAAAUGGCUUCAUUUCGUGUGACUGUUGUAUGUUUUUGGAAUGGUUCAAUUCGAUCAAGUAGUAGCAAUGUUAAGUAUGUUGGGGGAAGACGUAAACUUUUUGCAUGCAAUUCAAACAUGGACUUGAAUGAAUUUAAACUUCUUAUAUGCUCUAAGAUUGGCAUUGACACUACAAGAAGUACUGUUAAUGUAAGUUUUAAAUACAAUAUGAGUGGAGAAUUGUUAGCUCUUCCGGUUGAAGAUGAGGAGGCUAUAGAUGCAAUGUGGGAGUAUUCAAAGUCUACCCCUAUUCUUUCUUUAGUGUUAUUUGUAGAAGAGGUACCUCUAGGGAAUCAAGAUGUCAAUGUUGUAGAAACAAAUGCAUUCCUGAAUGUAACUUCUUCUGCUCCUUCUCAUAUGCCCUUCUCUACCCAAGAAACCCAAAAUCCCAUUAUGUCAUCUUCCUCUUCUCCUUCUAAUGAGCCCAGUCAACUUCAAAUUCAAGCCUCAAAUGAUGAUACUUUUAACUUAGAAAAUACAAAUGAGCCUUGGGAUGAUGUUAAUAAUGAGAGUAAUGAAUUCGUUGAAGCUCCUUCUGAGGACAAUGUGAGUGUUGACGAGGAGGCUCUAGCUAAUAACAUGACCUUAGGCAACAUUCUAAUAAUCGUUGCUCCUACACCUUAUGCACUAGUUCCCCCUCUAGAUGAACACGUUGAGGACAACUCUUGGAGGUCUUGGGCAUGUGAGUACCGAACUGAGACUUCAAAUCCAUAUUCAUGUCGUUGAUUGAUAAGAGGUCAUGGCCUCAAUACACCGGUGUUGAGGUGAUACACGAUCCAGAUCACAUUCGUGGACUAGGGAGACCUAAGUUAAGGAGGAUCACCAACGAGAUGGACGAAGGAUCAAGGAGAUGCAACGCUUGUCGACGGUGUGGUAGUGAAGGUCACAACACUAGAACUUGCAUGUCAAGUAGAGAUUGAUCCAGCAGCUCCAGACCCUCACAACCCUAGUGUGCUGACGAUGCAGGCGGAUCACAAGAGCAGUGUACUAUGGGAUGUCCAGGUGUCUGACAUACAGACCAUAUACACCAGGCAUCCCGACUCUGCUCCGUGGGAGAUUGACUCACGGAUCAUCCCUUACAUUUAGCGAGCGAGAUUGUACGACUUCGACCUCAUCGCUUAUGGGAGAGUCAAUCGGGCACUAUUCACGGCUUUAGUCGAGCGGUGGCGCCAAGAGACACAUACCUUCCACCUACCUCUAGGUGAAGAACUAUCACUUUACUUGACGUAGCUGUGCUUACACAGCUUCCCAUCGAGGGACAUGCCGUCUGUACUGUUGGACGCCAACUCGAAAGUUGGCAAGAUAUAGUGCAUAAGGUAUUAGGAGUUCGACCUCUCCUAGAGGUAGCCAAAGGGAGUGGGUUGCGCAUAACAUGGCUUGCGCAGAACUUCUCGCACCUCCCUGAAGGUGCCGAUGAGGCGUAUCUCUUAUAUCUGGUUGGUGCUGUCUUGUUCUCCGAAAAGACUGGCAACAGGGUACAGCUUUUGUAUUUGACGUUGCUUGAUGCACCAUGGGAGGUCAUCUCCGGUUACAGCUGGGGUUCCGCAACCGUAGCUUAACUGUACAGGAGACUGUGUGACGCGUCACGGAAGAACGUGAAGGAGAUCGCUGGGCCCCUGAUUAUUCUCCAGCUUUGGGCGUGGGAGCACAUUCUCAUUGGGCAACCGAUGAGGACUGUGGGACAUGGUGCAUUUGCGCCACCAAUUCUUCCACCCCCACAUGUGCCGUAUGGAUCGCGGUGGUCUUUGAUAGACGUACAAGGACCCACAUAGGAUCUGGCGUGGGGUUCUACCGCGAUCAAUUCGAUCUACUUCGAGCUGACCAGUUUCGAUGGGACCCUUACCUCGCUGAGGCAUACGCUGCAUUGCCUCAACACUCAGGGAUAUUGUCAGGGGCGUAGAGAACCUCUGUACCUUUGAUAUGCUUCAACUGUACAUCUCUUUGAGUGUGUACUGCGCCAAUUUGGGAUGAUACAGGGCAUCCCGCCACCUUGUGACACAGUGACGGAUCUCUAUCACAGCUCACGUAAGGGUCGGGAGCCUAAGAACUGGUUGGAGAUCAACUGGCUCCAUAUGACUCGUUGGGAUCACAAGCUAGAGCUGCUGGCCCAAGGUGCGUCGGCUGUAGGCGCACCUACUUCUGCCGCGGUUCCUCUCCAUCAGUCGUCGAUGGAUAACACCACGAGGUAUCAUCGCGGGCGCCCAGUACGCUUCCGCAGCACCGACGAUGACAUAGUUUGCACAAGGCAUUGCAGUUGUCAUCAGCUCCACCCAGGAGGAGCCUGUACGGGAGAUUGCCCAAGGCAUACUCCUAGGAACACAGUUUCAGCACUUCAUUCCUGAAGUCGUUGUGCUUGACACCACUGUGGACGAGCAGGGGUCAUCUCCUCAUCAUGCCAACGUUCAUCUUGAGGAGGUAGACUUAACGUGUCUCGACUAUGGUGCCGUGUCCUCACAGAGUGCUGGAUCAUCCUAGUAUCAAUCACCUCUCCUACCCGAGCGUCAUGCGACGGCCUCUUACUGUCGUAGGAGGCGUCGUAAACCGUCACAGUUAGACAGGGUACAGGAGGAGGGUUAGCAUUAGUAUACUAUUUGUAUAUAUUGAACAUUAGUAACAUUUUGUAUAUAUUGAACAUUUUACAUAUUGAAUAUUUGUAACAUUUGGACUUUUGUGUAUAAUUUGUAAUAUAUAUAUAGAUGUAUAUAUUUUUAUCGUAUUAUCACAUGUUUCUUAUAAAUGGAAUGAUGUUAAUUACUCAGAGUUUUCGUCGAUGAAUCAUUCCGUCAAGAAUUAAGUAUGAAUUUAAUUAAAAUCAAACAAACAAGCAACAAGAUCACGACCAGGAUCGACGUCGCUUC
RNA transcript from Amaranthus tricolor (Joseph's coat), 4746 nucleotides. RefSeq lists it as uncharacterized. The record is from RefSeq and is a predicted model, not a curated record. NCBI's taxonomy places the organism in Eukaryota, Viridiplantae, Streptophyta, Magnoliopsida, Caryophyllales, Amaranthaceae. The transcript has 10 exons.